CUACAUAUCUAACUGAAUAAAGAUCAAAUCUUUACCUAGAUCACAAUGGAACGAGGAUUAAUCUUCAGAAUAUGGAUUCAAGCCUUCGCGUAGGCUUGGAUUUGCAGACCCUCUACUUUGUGCGCACGUCAGGCCCUAAAGGAAAGCGGGAUGAAGCUUCGAAUCGAAGCACCUUCGUAAAGCCACCAAAAGAGAGAGGAAAGGUGCUGGUAUGACACCUCACACUAGCAAAAGGGACACCCAAGGAGGACCCACAGCUUGGAGAAGAUGGGCGGCA
RNAcentral lists this long non-coding RNA (277 nucleotides) under Elaeis guineensis (African oil palm). RNAcentral describes it as "long non-coding RNA (EGUI_LNC052169)". The record is from RNAcentral. Lineage: Eukaryota; Viridiplantae; Streptophyta; Magnoliopsida; Arecales; Arecaceae.